AGAUGGAUGGACGGGAAGGAGAGAAAAAGCGCUUGCUUCAGGAAACGGGUUUCAGCUCUGGGACAUGUGCUGUGCCAGAUGAGAAGAAGCAUAGAGUUGAAGAGGUCUCUCAGUUUGAUGGGAGAUUUGAAGAUGAAUCUCAGUUUGAUGCACCUGUGGAUGGUACUGAUGACGAGCCUUUCAUAGACGAAGGUCCUGCACCUGAGAUUAUCCAGCCUACAGAAGGAGGCCGUGGACCGAGUACACAGCUUUGCGUUGAAGUGGAUGCACGCCCAGAGAUCAUCAGGGGCGUCCGGGUAGUCUCAAGACCACCCAGCCCUGAUGCACCUGUGGAUGGUACUGAUGACGAGCCUUUCAUAGACGAAGGUCCUGCACCUGAGAUUAUCCAGCCUACAGAAGGAGGCCGUGGACCGAGUACACAGUUUUGCGUUGAAGUGGAUGCACGCCCGGAGAUCAUCAGGGGCGUCCCGGUAGUCUCAGGACCACCCAGCCCUGAUGCAAAAUGUUGAGCUACUUUAUGAUUCGUACUCUUAUGUUCUGGUGCUGUAGUAUGUACUAUCUUUGUUAUGAUUUGUACGCCUUUGGCGCUAGAACUAUAAUUAAGCAUUCA
Non-coding RNA from Lolium perenne, 610 nucleotides. NCBI's taxonomy places the organism in Eukaryota, Viridiplantae, Streptophyta, Magnoliopsida, Poales, Poaceae. The record is from RefSeq and is a predicted model, not a curated record.